This 744-nucleotide ribosomal RNA is filed under the name Flectobacillus sp. RNAcentral describes it as "bacterial SSU rRNA". It matches the Rfam family "Bacterial small subunit ribosomal RNA", at positions 36 to 794 of the family's 1533-position model. The record is from RNAcentral. Lineage: Bacteria; Pseudomonadati; Bacteroidota; Cytophagia; Cytophagales; Flectobacillaceae.
CAUCCGGAGGCCUAAUCAUGCAAGUCGAACGGUGUAGCAAUACACAGGGGCGCACGGGUGCGUAACAAGUAUGAAAAGCCUAUCAUUGGGGGAUAGCCUUUGGAAACGGAGAUUACUACCGAAUAAGACAGUAACAUGGCAUCAUGUAGCUGUUAAAGCUUCGGCGAUGAUAGAUGGGCAUGCGUCCAAUUAGUUAGUUGGUGAGGUAAUGGCUCACCAAGACGAUGAUUGGUAGGGGAUCUGAGAGGAUAAUCCCCCACACUGGCACUGAGAUACGGGCCAGACUCCUACGGGAGGCAGCAGUAGGGAAUAUUGGGCAAUGGACGGAAGUCUGACCCAGCCAUGCCGCGUGCAGGAUGAAGGCGUUAUGCGUUGUAAACUGCUUUUUUAUAGGAAGAAGGAGACCUUGCGAGGUUUGGUGACGGUACUAUAAGAAUAAGCACCGGCUAACUCCGUGCCAGCAGCCGCGGUAAUACGGAGGGUGCGAGCGUUGUCCGGAUUUAUUGGGUUUAAAGGGUGCGUAGGCGGUUUAUUAAGUCAGUGGUGAAAGACGGACGCUCAACAAUUGCCGUGCCAUUGAUACUGGUAGACUUGAGUUCCUAUGAGGUAGCUGGAAUGGAUAGUGUAGCGGUGAAAUGCAUAGAUAUUAUCCAGAACUCCAAUUGCGUAGGCAGGUUACUAAUACGAUACUGACGCUGAUGCACGAAAGUGUGGGGAUCAAACAGGAUUAGAUACCAUGGUAAA